GGUUUUAGAUUUUUUUUAUAUCAAGAUUGUGUUAUUUAGGCAGGAAAUUACUUUCAUUUCCUCCCUAUUAUCUAUAAAGAUGUAUGUUUGGUGCAAAGCUCUUGGUAGUUUGAAUUGAAGAUGUAGAUUCCAAUAGCAGAGCCUAUAAUUAUUUUGUAGGCUGGUUAAGCUAAAAUCAAAUACUUAAAUAUUUUUUGUUACCUAUAUAAAGUUAUAUAAUAAUACACUUGAAACUUUCAAAUUAGACAACAUUAACACAAUUUUAUAUGAUAAAUUAUAUUCCUACCAAAUCUAUCAAAAAAAUAUAUUCAAUUCAAAAUUAAAAUUUCAAGCACAGACUCUUAAAUUCAAAAAAUAAACAAAUAAACUAAUUAAGAAUAAAAUGGUAAAAAACUUACUAAUUGGCGAGAGAAAUCAGUGGGACUUUCACACUUGCAGACUGUCUUUGUGGAUUGUGAAUUUGUAGCGUUUUGGAAAAAAUAGCUGUACUGUUCUAGAUGUGCCUUCAGAAAAUUGAAUAGUUAAAAGCCAAACUUAAAAGCUAACAUUUACUCCUAAAAAAAUGUAUAAGUACUUAUUUAAAUGAAUAAAAUAAUAAAACCUAAUAAUUACUUCCUAGGUGUGAGAACUCAUAUUUUUAAUUUAUAUAUAUAUAACCCUAGUGGUAUAGAUAUCUACAGUUUCACGCAUUUGCAUUAGGUUAGUACAUUCUACAUAGCCAUGUGUCAAUUCCAUAAGCGUUCCAUCUGUUUUCUUUGUCCCAUUCUGGAUGGUUGUCAAGUUAAUCUUAUUUCUAUAUUUAUAUUUUACGUUACCAUUGUUGUCAAAUUUAGAGUAGUUGAUAUAGGCAUACAUAUCCUAUCUUGGUGGCUUUCGUAUUAGGAGGACACAAGUGCAACAGAUGUCUUUGGCAAGUUAGAGAUAACACCAUCCAAUCAUUCACUCCAAUCUUAUUUGCAUAGUCAUUACAUUAGAGCUUGAGGUUGCUACGCGUGUACCAUUCAUCCCCUUCAAGUGACACAUAUUCUACUACCCUAACAUGUGUCAAUCUCUCAUACCCUUAUCUAAUGAUAGUAGACACCUCCUGCUAUACUUGCCGACUUUCUACAUCUAUAAAUAGCACCCCACCUUUCACUUUUAUUCAGACAAUUCCUCCAAAUCUUUAUAUCUUGUUCGUUGCAUGUAGUUUUCAUGCACAGUACGUUGGUUUGUAUAAUAUAUAUUUAUAUAUAGUGAGAGAGAUUAGUGUUUGUACCAUACUUAGGAUCUUUGUAUUUAGAUUUCGCAUAAAUACUUGGAAGACUCAAAUGUAAUUAUGUAAUAAAUGAAAGGGUAAAUAUGUAAAAAGGGGAGGAGCCCUUAGUCUAUAAAUGGGCUUCUUCACCCUCACAAUCCAAAAGCUCAAAGAUUGAGGGCAGGGCCUCACUCUCACCCUCAGAAGCUCUGAUCCUCACAUACAGAAGCUUUUUCUCUCUCACAAUCCUCUCAUAAACAGAGAAAUACAAUAUCAGUGUGGACGUAACCCAAACAUUAGGGUGAACCACGAUACAUCUUGUGUUCUUUAUUUUCUUGUAGAUUCACGGUCGGAUUUACGUUGUUCCAAGACCCCUCCGGUUUUGUGCAUCAACAUUUGGCGUCGUCUGUGGGAAACGACACGAAAAGCUAUGUCGAUUCUCUCUCAAUUUUUCAUCUCACCAUCGUGAAACCUUCACAACCUCACCACUGUCCACCGUGAAUCUGCAGAAACCAAGAACCAAAUCGACAAACCCACCCCAAAAAACCAAGAUAUGUCAACUGGGUGUGCUUUAUUGUUCUCAAAUUUUGAAGGAAAAUCAAAUCAUCAUUGUCUUCCCCAAAUCCGAAACCCUUUUAGAACCCUAGAUGGGCCUGCUGAAGGCAGAAAUCGCUAAGAAACGGCAGAGACUCGAAGAAGACACCGGUGGCAAGCGAUUCUUCAAACGCUUCGAGAUCGAGCAGAAGCAAAUCCAGAAGCUUUAGGAGCAAGAGAAAUGCGAAUUAGAAGCCAAAGCCCAGCGCCAAGUCGCCGCCUUCAACUCCGCCUCCGCAAGCGGCUCUUCCGUUGCUUUCACAUACAAAACCCAUUGCCUCAUUCUCCACACCCUCACUCCUAGUAAUGAAGGACCGGCCUCCUUCCUCGUACAGCUCCAUCUACGUCCAUCCCCACCACCACCUCUGCUCUGUCAUCACCACCCCCAAUUAUACCUCCCUUGCAAUCGGCUCUAAGCUUCAUGAAACCAGACUGUUGCUGAUGGCAGAUGCUGCUACUCUCAACCGGAGGAGCAGCACAAGUGGUGCUCUGGAGUACAACUAGACUCAACAACAGCAAGCGCAGUUGCAUGUUCCGAAGCUUCAGCAACCUUCAGCUUAAGACGACGACAUUCCUGAAGAAGGCUCUAAUCGUGAAGCUGAGCUGUAGUAACAUUAGGUGAGAUUUUUAUAUGUGAAUUGUGAAAUUCGUGUGUUUACUAAAGUGUGAAUUGGUAAUUGGGUGUUUCAAGCUGGAGAAAGCUUCGAUCGAGAAGGACCUCCAGGCCACAUUGAGCAACGGUGAAGAGUUAGGUAACAAGGAGGCGUUCCUUCAACAGCACUCGCUGCAACCGGGCCACGGAUCAAGGCUUUUACAAGAUUACAGGGAAGAAGUGUGAGAUCAGGGCUGAAGAAUCCAAAGCUGUGAUUGGGAAGAAGAGGAUUCUGACCUUUUACGAAGGUCGUGUACCGAAAGCAAAGAAGACCGAUUGGGUAGUCCAUGAGUAUUAUCUCACAAAAAUUGAGGUGGGGUCUAGAUCCACCAAGCAGACGACGUCAAGGACAGGAAUGUCCAGUGCGUCUUCCUCGGCUGCUCCGACGUCGGAAAAGGAACCUACACCUCCCACCUCUGCCACUUCCUCGGCGUCCCUCACAUCGCCACCAGCGAUCUUGUCCACGACAAGCUGGCUGCCUCCGGCCCCUUCACUCUUUAGCUUGUGGAGGUUGUGAAUCCCGAUAAAUGUUAUGAACCCCACUUGCCUUGUCUUGCUGUCUGGUCUCAGAAGCUCUAGCCAAAACUGUAUUGAUUGGUUUCAAACAUAAUGAAUAGGGUAACACCACCGACAACGAAAAUGGUGAGAAUGUGCUCGAGUCGAAGGACCCCAUACUCAAGAAAUCAGAGGCGUAGUGAAAAAAAAAGAGAAAAGAAGAAAAAGAAACGAAAGCAAAAGCAGAAAGCAGAAAGAAAAGCAGAAAAAACCGAAAAAAAAAGCAGAAAGCAAAAUGGAGGCUUUCCUCUGCGAGAGCACAUGGGGACACUGCAAAAGCAAGGAAUAAACACCCCACCAUAAUGAUGUGAUUUACUUUUCUUGUUUUUGAAUAAUGUGAUUUAUUUUUCUUAUCUUUCAGAGACAUCUGUAUAACCCCAUCAGAGGGUAAUUAUAAAAAAAAAAAAAAACGGCAAGCCUAAAAUAAUGGGCUGAAAUGUUAUGUGGAGGGCGAAGGCCCAUCUGCCUAAAAGAGCCAGGCCUUCUAUUAUCACCAACUAGGUGAUCAAAAGUACGCCCAAUACUCCAAAAUUAUUCGGCACCCUGCUGCUAUUAUCACCAACCAGGUGAUCAAAAGUACGUCCAGUACUCCAAAAUUAUACAUGAGCAUCACUCAUGUCAAUCAUACAUAAACAUUCAUAAGCAUCACUCAUGUCAAUCAUACAUAAACAUUCAUGUCAACAUUCAUGAGCAUCACUCAUGUCAACAUCCAUGAGUAUCAUUCAUGUCAAUCAACAUAAACAUUCAUGAGCAUCACUCAUGUCAAUCAGCUUCAAAAGCUUCAUUUACAGAGCUUUAGCUUCGAGAGUUCCAGCUUUGAAUGCUUCAUUUACAGAGCUCUAGCUUCAAAGCUUCACUUGCAAAGCUUCACCUACAAAGCUUCAGUGCAGGGUAUACAAAUACCGCCUCCGAACAACCACCACUUUGGCCCAUACAUGGAUUCAAUCUGAAGUCUCCAGCCAACAUACCCUAUUGACUGAAGACUUGGGGGACUACAUUAUGUACCAUAUAUUGGGCCUCAACUGGGCCUCAUGAAAAAUACUUUGGGGACUCUAACCCAUUAUUCAUGUACUGAGUAGCGAGCCCUUAUUUUAUAAAAGGGACUCCCUCACCUUCAUUAGAGAGCAUCGCCGCUAGCUGAGCAACUGCCUUGCCGCGAGUAUCACUCAUAACCCAUCACUUAUGUAUUGAGGAGUGAGCCCUUAUUCUAUAAAAGGGAUUCCCUCACCAUCAUUAAAGAGCAUCGCCAUCUGCUGAGCAACCGUCUCGCCGCGAGCAUCAACUUUAGCCCAUCAUUUAUGUAUUCUAUAAAAUGGACUCCCUCACCUUCAACACCACAAGCCGAGCCAACCAAAGGCAACAUAAGCCACAAGCCGAGCAGCCUCGCAACAUGUGUUACUUCUUGUUGAGCAUCAUUUUACAUUGAGCACCGCCUCAUAUCGAGUAUUUAGUUCUAGACAACAUCUAGUUACUUCGGCCCACACAUGGACUGAAUUUCAAGUCUCCAGCCAAAAGACUCUCUUGACUGAAGACUUGGGGGACUACUAUUUGUACUAUACUUAGGGCCUCCGUAUUUAGAUCUCGUAUAAAUACUCGGGGGAGUCAAAUGUAAUUAUGUAAUAAAUGAAGGGGCAAAUAUGUAAAAAGAGGAGGAGCCUUUAGUCUAUAAAAGGGCCUCCUUACCCUCACAAUCCAAAAGCUCGGAGAUCUCUCACCAUCAGAAGCUAUGAUCCUCACAUACAGAAGCUCUAUCUCUUACACAAUCCUUUCACAAACAGGGAAAUAUCAGUGUGGACGUAGCCCAAACAUUGGGGUGAACCAUGAUACAUCUUGUGUUCUUUACUUUCUUGUAGAUUCACGGUUAGAUUUACGUUGUUCCAAGACCCCUCCGGUUUUAUGCAUCAACAAUUAGAAAAGAUGUGUGGUAGAAAUACAUAGUAUUUGGACGUGAUCAAGGAAUUUAUUCAAGUACGUGGAGUCUAGCUAUUGCGGUAGUGACGUGAAUCUUCGUUUUAGCUUUGGGAUCAAGGUAUUGGUGAGGAAUAUUGCUUGCUUGGCUUGGAGACCAGGUAGGGGGAUCCUCACUUACCGUAGUUAUGAAAUUUUGUGCAUGUAUGUAUAUGUAAAUAUACGAAUGCUUGUGAAAGCUGCAUAGAUUUUGUUGUGAAUCAUGAGGAAAAUGGUUUUAUUUUAUAUCAUGAUAUGCAUGUUGUUUUAUACUACAAAUUAAAGUGAUGACUUGAGAGUGAAUGGGGCAUAGUGACCGUCUUGGGUUUCGAUCCCUUAAACCUUCAGAAGGGCUACUACGAAGGGAUUAGUACCGCUACCUUUCUAGGAGAGGUACUUGGAUAUCGCUAAAGGUAGAGCAUUAAAGGACACUCUCGCUAUACCUUACCAUAAGUAUAUUCGUUCGGAGUUGGUCCAGGUAAAUGGGUAGUUGGUCAUUGGACCAGUCAUCAGGCAUGUAGUGAUUUAUAGGGAUCCCUGUUUUCUUUUUAAAAGGAAAUUGUGUGAGCAUACAAUCUAUUUUUGAAACUAAAGCUUUUGUUGUGCAUCAAACAUUUUUCUAUAGUAUAUAUAGUGUUGUAUACUACUUUCAAACCUAGCUGGGGUGAAUUCCCUGAGGGGGAACGAUGAACAUUUGUGAUGCUCACCCCUACUUUAUUACAUGACCAGUGCACCUACAAAUAGACGAUCUGGACUAAGGUCGGGACAAGUGUUGUUUGUUACUUGUCAACUUCUUAAUCGCUCAUUGACUUUCCACAGGUUUUUGUUUGUACAUAUGCUUGAUUCCCUCCGUCUUGAAGGAAUCUUUUGUAACUAAAUUUAGCACUUUGUACUCUCCAAAUCGUGCCUAAGAGUUGGUUAGUAUAUUUACUUAUUUUAAACUCUUUGGUUUUGUUGUAAGUUGUAAACUUCGUCUUUGAUGUAAAAAAUUAUCCAAAUUUUGUUGCCUUGUAUUAUUCGUUUUGCCAAAAUGAUUUUGCGCUUCCGUACUGCUUAAAAAUAAAUUAUUUUACUUCCCCUUAAAUAGCCUUACGUCCUAUUGGGAAUGUAGUGCUACAAUGUUGGAAUUUAACACUAUAGUAUUGCGUUACUAAUAGAGUGUGGCACUGUUACGUGCUCGUUUUUGGGGUGUGACACUAGGGGUGGUUCGGUAUGGGAUACCGAAUCGAAACCCUUGUUCCGAUUUCCAAACCGAAAUUUUCGGGAAUCCCAAUUUCAAUACCGAUCCCAAACCAAUUUUUCAGGAAUCCCGAUAGAGUUUCAGGAUUUCGGGACAAAUCGGGAAUCCCGAAAUGGUUUUGGGCUUUUAGACUAAAAUUUGACAUAUUAUGCUUUUGGGCUAAAAUUCAACCUUUUAUAUUGAAAAUUUGACAUAUAGUCAGGCUGCCAAUUUGGCAAUCUGUUGGACUAAAAGUUGAAAUACAAGUAUACAACCCAUCUGCCAAUCUGUGCAUAAUAGCAUAUGUGAUCUGCCUAUUCAAUUUCUACUACACAUGCAUGCAAUAAAAAUAAAUUAAGUAACAAAUCCAAAAGCAAAAAAAAAUUAGUUACAAGCCAAGGUUUUAAAAUAAAUAAAGUAACAAACCCAAAAGCAAAAAAAAUUAGUUACGAGCCAAAGUUUCAAAAUAAUGAAGUUACAAACCAAAAGCAAAAAAGCAAAAAAGCAAAAAAGAAAAAAAGCAAAGCUUAAAGUUUAUGAAGAUUGUUGGCCUCGUAUAUUGAUGGUUGAGCCCUUCCCCUUGAUGUUGAUGAUUAAACCAUUCCCCUUAAAAUGGGUGGUCAUGGAGGUAGUGAUUGAUUUUGACGUUGUUGAACUUCAACUUGAGGUGUAACAUUCCACAUUGCCCAGGGGAGUGGAUCAUAUAAGCCAUAUAUGUAUAUUCUCAUCUCUACCUAGCAUGAGGUCUUUUAGGAGUUCACUGGCUUCGAGUUUCGUAGGAACUCCGAAGUUAAGCGAGUUCGUGUGAGAGCAAUCCCAGGAAGGGUGACCCACUGGGAAGUUCUCAUAUGAGUUCCAAGAAACAAAACCGUGAGGGUGUGGUCAGGGCUCAAAGCAGACAAUAUCGUGCUACGGUGGAGUUGAGCCCGGGAUGUGAUGGAGGCCUAGGCCGAGAUGUGACAAUUUGGUAUCAGAGCCAAUUCAUGGCCGGAAGUCUGCCGACGAGGACGUCGAGCCCCUAAGGGGGGGUGGAUUGUAACAUCCCACAUCGCCCAGGGGAGUGGAUCCUGUAAGCCUUAUAUGUAUAUUCACAUCUCUACCUAGUACGAGGCUUUUUGGGAGCUCACUGGCUUUGGGUUCCGUAGAAACUCCAAAGUUAAGCGAGUUCGCGCGAGAGCAAUACCAGGAUGGGUGACCCACUGGGAAGUUCUCUUGUGAGUUCCUAGAAACAAAAUCGUGAAUGUGUGGUCGGGGUUCAAAGCAGAUAAUAUCGUGCUACGGUGGAUUCGAGCCCGGGAUGUGGUGGGGCCCGGGCUGGGAUUUGGCAUGAGGUGGUCGAGGAGAUGGAGGUGGAUGGGCAUUUCAUUUUCUUAGAAGAAUUUCAGAUUUUUUCAUAUCAAGAUUGUGGUAUUUAGGCAAGAAAUUGCUUUCAUUUCCUCCCUAUUAUCUAUAAAGAUGUAUGUUUGGUGCAAAGCUCUUGGUAGUUUGAAUUGAAGAUGUAGAUUCUAAUAACAGAGCCUGAAAUUAUUUUGUAGGUUGGUUAAGCUAAAAUUAUACUAUGAAAUCAAAUACUUAAACUUUUUUUUGUUACCUAUAUAAAGUUAUAUAAUAAUACACUUGAAACUUUC
RNAcentral lists this long non-coding RNA (7829 nucleotides) under Malus domestica (apple). Lineage: Eukaryota; Viridiplantae; Streptophyta; Magnoliopsida; Rosales; Rosaceae. The record is from RNAcentral.